Molecule: non-coding RNA, 245 nt
Organism: Prunus avium (sweet cherry)
Lineage: Eukaryota; Viridiplantae; Streptophyta; Magnoliopsida; Rosales; Rosaceae
Source: RefSeq, a predicted model, not a curated record
GUGAACACAAAUAUCUCACUGCACAAAUUUAAUGAACAAAUAUAGAAGAAAGAGAGAAAGAGAAGAAGUUAACAUCACCGCCGUCACUUCCACUGUUACAGCUCAUUUACUACUUGAGAGGUAAUAAUCAUGACCAUGCAAGUCUUCUUCAAUCUGCAGAUGGAUCCUCCUCAUGAUGAUGAGCUAACUGAUUAGCUAGGAGGGAGCCCAGUUCUUGAUUCUCAGGAUGAUCUCCAAUAUUGGCC